RNAcentral lists this ribosomal RNA (497 nucleotides) under uncultured bacterium. RNAcentral's name for it is "partial 16S ribosomal RNA". It matches the Rfam family "Bacterial small subunit ribosomal RNA", at positions 28 to 507 of the family's 1533-position model. The record is from RNAcentral.
GAUGAACGCUGGCGGCGUGCCUAACACAUGCAAGUCGAACGGAAAGACGCUGACCUUGCUCCUCGAGUGUCAGCCGCGGGCGUAAGACUAACAUGCGUAUCACCCACCUAUGAGACUGGGAUCACUACGGGAAACCGGACCUAAUACCGGAUAAGAUAGUGAACCGGUGGGUUCGAUAGAUAGUUUCGGUUUUGGUGUCACUUAUAGCCGGUUCCGCGCUGCAUUAGCUAGUUGGUAAGGUAACGGCUUACCAGGGCGACGAUGCGUAGCCGACCUGACAGGGGGAUCGGCCACACUGGAACUGAGACACGGUCCAGACUCCUACGGGAGGCAGCAGUAGGGAAUCUUGGGCAAUGGGGGGAAGCCUGACGGAGCAACGCCGCGUGAGUGAUGAAGGUCUUCGGGUCGGAAAACGCUGUUAGUAGGGAAGAACAAAUGUGUUAGUAACUAAGCACGUAGUGACGGUACCUGAUGAAGAAGCACCGGCUAACUACGUG